RNAcentral lists this ribosomal RNA (496 nucleotides) under uncultured bacterium. Its description in RNAcentral is "partial 16S ribosomal RNA". It matches the Rfam family "Bacterial small subunit ribosomal RNA", at positions 28 to 507 of the family's 1533-position model. The record is from RNAcentral.
GAUGAACGCUGGCGGCGUGCCAAUACAUGCAAGUCGCGCGAACAGACGAGGAGCUUGCUCCUCUGACGUUAGCGGCGGACGGGUGAGUAACACGUGGAUAACCUACCUAUAAGACUGGGAUAACUUCGGGAAACCGGAGCUAAUACCGGAUAAUAUAUUGAACCGCAUGGUUCAAUAGUGAAAGACGGUUUUGCUGUCACUUAUAGAUGGAUCCGCGCCGCAUUAGCUAGUUGGUAAGGUAACGGCUUACCAAGGCGACGAUGCGUAGCCGACCUGAGAGGGUGAUCGGCCACACUGGAACUGAGACACGGUCCAGACUCCUACGGGAGGCAGCAGUAGGGAAUCUUCCGCAAUGGGCGAAAGCCUGACGGAGCAACGCCGCGUGAGUGAUGAAGGUCUUCGGAUCGUAAAACUCUGUUAUUAGGGAAGAACAAAUGUGUAAGUAACUAUGCACGUCUUGACGGUACCUAAUCAGAAAGCCACGGCUAACUACGUG